Molecule: long non-coding RNA, 1291 nt
Organism: Lathyrus oleraceus (garden pea)
Lineage: Eukaryota; Viridiplantae; Streptophyta; Magnoliopsida; Fabales; Fabaceae
Exons: 2
Source: RefSeq, a predicted model, not a curated record
GGGGGUACAUGUAAAGUACAAGGGAGUGCGAAAAAUAAAAGGUCUCAUUGUCAGGUAGCCCAAGAGAAAGCCAUGUGUGUGCAAUUGUGUUCUAAAUUGGAGAGCAUGCAAAAUUGUCCUAUUUCUAACACUAGGGGUAUAAUCGCCAUUUCACCAUUUAUGGAUUAAUAUUGAAUUAAAUUUCUAUUUACGAAAUUCUAAUUAAAGUCAUUUCUAAAAUCUAAGUAAUUCUAAUUAUUCUAAAUCCUAAAUUAAUCUAAAUUUAAUACUCCUAAUUAAACUUUAGAAUUCUAACAUUAUUUUUUUAAUCCUAAUUCUAAAUUUAAAAAAAUCUAAUAAUAAUUCUAAUAUCUUCUAAACUUAAUUCUAAAAUUCUAAAAAAAUUACUAAUGCUUUUAAUUGAAAAUCUAAGUUUAACUAUCUAAAUUUUUUAAUAAUCCUAAUUACUUUUAAUUAUGACUAGCUUGAUCUAAUUAAUACCUAAUACUCUAAUUAAGCUAAUUACACUCCUAAUUAAACUAAUUACAUACUAAUUGAUACUCUAAUUAAACUAAAAAACUGUUAGAACUCAACAAAAACUUGGAAGAAAACUUGAAUUGGGCUUUAUAUGGACUUGGGGGUGUAGGCCCGGAUUGGAGGUGUGUUGAAACCAAACCAUGGAUGGGCCUAACGUGAAACCUAAGGCCCAGGCACAUUUGGAUGAAGCACGGAUGAAUCUCAUCCUCCGCUUCACCUUCGUAUCGCACAGAAGCAGAACAAAAGGACGGAGAGACUGGAGCGCUCCGAUCCUGGCCGCGCUGGCUUCGCCUCGAUUCUACGACAGAAACCGCCAAAAUAUACACUCAUCUCCGGCCGCCAGUGAGUUUCCUUGGUGUCUACUGGACUCGACGUAACUCUCAACUCAACGACUCCGAUUUGUGUCGUCGUAGUCUCCAUUGAUGAUGACUUGGUCCGAGCAAAGAGGAAGACGAUUACGAUCAAUGCGCGCACUCAUCCAUAUCUCGCGACGGUUUAAUAACAUUCAACAGAUGAUUCGUUCGUUAAUCAGUUACCGGAUUCAAAGUUCGUAGCAUCAAAUUCGACUCGAUCCGUUAUCGUGUGAACGAUCCGGAACAAAAAUGAUAUAGCAGGCAAAUUGAAGACUUACCGAAUUGAAUAGGUGAAUUGGUAUAGUUUACAUUGCCGAUUCAAUUGGCUCGUGUGUUUGCAGCUUGAAGCUUGAAGUGUUGGCUGCACCUUGACUUUGUUGUAGCUUUGUAGUUGGUGCUUGUGCGUUUAGCUUAUUUUCUCA